GACGAACGCUGGCGGCGUGCUUAACACAUGCAAGUCGAACGGGAUCCAUGGAGUGCUUGCACUCCGGAAGAUCUAGUGGCGAACGGGUGAGUAACACGUGAGAAACCUGCCCCAGACUCUGGGAUAACCUCGGGAAACCGAAGCUAAUACCGGAUAUUCUCCUUUGGUCGCAUGGCCAGUUGAGGAAAGUUUUUCGGUCUGGGAGGGUCUCGCGGCCUAUCAGCUAGUUGGUGGGGUAACGGCCCACCAAGGCUACGACAGGUAGCUGGUUUGAGAGAACGAUCAGCCACACUGGAACUGAGACACGGUCCAGACUCCUACGGGAGGCAGCAGUGGGGAAUCUUGCGCAAUGGGCGAAAGCCUGACGCAGCAACGCCGCGUGCGGGAUGAAGGCCUUCGGGUUGUAAACGCUUUCAGCAGGACGAAAUAGACGGUACCGUGCAGAAGAAGCCCCGGCGUAACUAACGUGCCAGCAGCCGCGGUAAAAUACACGUGUA
RNAcentral lists this ribosomal RNA (497 nucleotides) under uncultured bacterium. Its description in RNAcentral is "bacterial SSU rRNA". It matches the Rfam family "Bacterial small subunit ribosomal RNA", at positions 28 to 533 of the family's 1533-position model. The record is from RNAcentral.